This 492-nucleotide ribosomal RNA is filed under the name uncultured bacterium. RNAcentral describes it as "partial 16S ribosomal RNA". It matches the Rfam family "Bacterial small subunit ribosomal RNA", at positions 29 to 507 of the family's 1533-position model. The record is from RNAcentral.
AGUGAACGCUGGCGGUAGGCCUAACACAUGCAAGUCGAACGGCAGCACCUUAGGAGCUUGCUCUUACGGGUGGCGAGUGGAGGACGGGUGAAGAAUACAUCGGAAUCUACUUUUUCGUGGGGGAUAACGUAGGGAAACUUACGCUACUACCGCAUACGACCUACGGGUGAAAACAGGGGAUCUUCGGACAUUACGCAAUUGAAUAGGCCGAUGUCGGAUUAGCUAGUCGGCGGGGUAAAGGCCCACCAAGGCGACGAUCCGUAGCUGUUCUGAGAGGAUGACGAGCCACACUGGAACUGAACCACGCUCCAGCCUCCUACGGGAGGCAGCAUUGGGGAAUAUUCGACAAUGGGCGCAAGCCUGAUCCAGCCAUACCGGGUGGGUGAAGAAGGCUUCCGGGUGUUAAAGCCUUUUGGUUGGGAAAGAAAAGCAGCAGGUUAAUACCACGCUGUUCUGACGGUACUCAAAGAAUAAGCACCGGCUAACUUCGUG